Molecule: non-coding RNA, 278 nt
Organism: Peromyscus maniculatus bairdii (prairie deer mouse)
Lineage: Eukaryota; Metazoa; Chordata; Mammalia; Rodentia; Cricetidae
Source: RefSeq, a predicted model, not a curated record
GUGUAAACUUCAAUCAUGAAGGAAAGACAUCGAGUGGCAGGAUGUAGGACUCCCAGCUACUUCUACAGGACCAUGUCUGUGUAUAUGCGCCAUGUUCCCCAUCAUGACAAUAAUGGACUGGACCUCUGAAACUGCAACAGACUCCACCAGCUCCGAUUGGACCAAGAGAGCCUUCAUCCAGUAACUGAUGGAAGCAGAUGCAGAGACCCACAACUAAGCACCAGGCCGAGCUCCAGGAGUCCAGUCAAAGAGAGGGAAGAGGGAUUAUAUGAGCAAGG